AACGAACGCUGGCGGCAGGCUUAACUCAUGCAAGUCGAGCGCAUCCUUCGGGGUGAGUGGCAGACGGGUGAGUAACGCGUGGGAACAUGCCCUUCAGUUCGGAAUAACCCAGGGAAACUUGGGCUAAUACCGGAUACGUGCGAGAGCAGAAAGAUUUAUCGCUGAAGGAGUGGCCCGCGUCUGAUUAGCUAGUUGGUGAGGUAAAGGCUCACCAAGGCGACGAUCAGUAGCUGGUCUGAGAGGAUGAUCAGCCACACUGGGACUGAGACACGGCCCAGACUCCUACGGGAGGCAGCAGUGGGGAAUAUUGGACAAUGGGCGCAGGCCUGAUCCAGCCAUGCCGCGUGAGUGAUGAAGGCCUUAGGGUUGUAAAGCUCUUUCGGCGGGGACGAUAAUGACGGUACCCGCAGAAGAAGCCCCGGCUAACUUCGUGCCAGCAGCCGCAGUAA
This 449-nucleotide ribosomal RNA is filed under the name uncultured bacterium. RNAcentral's name for it is "partial 16S ribosomal RNA". It matches the Rfam family "Bacterial small subunit ribosomal RNA", at positions 29 to 523 of the family's 1533-position model. The record is from RNAcentral.